UGGGGAAUUUUGGACAAUGGGCGCAAGCCUGAUCCAGCCAUGCCGCGUGCGGGAAGAGGGCCUUCGGGUUGUAAACCGCUUUUGUCAGGGAAGAAAUCUUCUGAGUUAAUACCUCGGGAGGAUGACGGUACCUGAAGAAUAAGCACCGGCUAACUACGUGCCAGCAGCCGCGGUAAUACGUAGGGUGCAAGCGUUAAUCGGAAUUACUGGGCGUAAAGCGUGCGCAGGCGGUUUUGUAAGACAGAGGUGAAAUCCCCGGGCUCAACCUGGGAACUGCCUUUGUGACUGCAAGGCUUGAGUGCGGCAGAGGGGGAUGGAAUUCCGCGUGUAGCAGUGAAAUGCGUAGAUAUGCGGAGGAACACCGAUGGCGAAGGCAAUCCCCUGGGCCUGCACUGACGCUCAUGCACGAAAGCGUGGGGAGCAAACAGGAUUAGAUAGCCCUGGUAGUCCACGCCCUAAACGAUGUCAACUGGUUGUUGGGAAGGUUCCUUCUCAGUAACGUAGCUAACGCGUGAAGUUGACCGCCUGGGGAGUACGGCCGCAA
RNAcentral lists this ribosomal RNA (544 nucleotides) under uncultured bacterium. RNAcentral describes it as "partial 16S ribosomal RNA". It matches the Rfam family "Bacterial small subunit ribosomal RNA", at positions 355 to 891 of the family's 1533-position model. The record is from RNAcentral.